GCGCCAAUAGCUCAGUUGGAUAGAGCAACGGCCUUCUAAGCCGUGUGUCGCAAGUUCGAAUCCUGCUUGGCGCA
RNAcentral lists this transfer RNA (74 nucleotides) under Pectinatus cerevisiiphilus. It matches the Rfam family "tRNA". Rfam says of the family: Transfer RNA (tRNA) molecules are approximately 80 nucleotides in length. Their secondary structure includes four short double-helical elements and three loops (D, anti-codon, and T loops). Further hydrogen bonds mediate the characteristic L-shaped molecular structure. tRNAs have two regions of fundamental functional importance: the anti-codon, which is responsible for specific mRNA codon recognition, and the 3' end, to which the tRNAs corresponding amino acid is attached (by aminoacyl-tRNA synthetases). tRNAs cope with the degeneracy of the genetic code in two manners: having more than one tRNA (with a specific anti-codon) for a particular amino acid; and 'wobble' base-pairing, i.e. permitting non-standard base-pairing at the 3rd anti-codon position. The record is from Rfam by way of RNAcentral. Lineage: Bacteria; Bacillati; Bacillota; Negativicutes; Selenomonadales; Selenomonadaceae.